CAUUUUGGGCACAAAUAUUAUUUCAGGAGAAUCUGGGUGUAUUUGUAGAUGUGAGAAUCCACAGGCCAGAACUAUUGAAACAGGUGACACAUGUUGAGUAUGAAAUUGCUCAUGAAAUCUGUACUAAAAACCAGACAAUUAAAUUUUAUCAAAAUGUUGACUAUAGUGAAUCACUUGAUUAUAUGAAGACAAUCUCUCUCAUUUAUUUGUUGGGUGUCCUCCAUCAAGACAUAUUGUCAUUCAAAAGU
RNAcentral lists this long non-coding RNA (248 nucleotides) under Crocodylus porosus (Australian saltwater crocodile). RNAcentral describes it as "lncRNA (ENSCPRG00005014240.1)". The record is from RNAcentral. Lineage: Eukaryota; Metazoa; Chordata; Crocodylia; Crocodylidae.